RNAcentral lists this ribosomal RNA (689 nucleotides) under Methylobacterium sp. iEIII4. Its description in RNAcentral is "bacterial SSU rRNA". It matches the Rfam family "Bacterial small subunit ribosomal RNA", at positions 55 to 788 of the family's 1533-position model. Lineage: Bacteria; Pseudomonadati; Pseudomonadota; Alphaproteobacteria; Hyphomicrobiales; Methylobacteriaceae. The record is from RNAcentral.
AUGCAAGUCGAGCGGGCGCCUUCGGGUGUCAGCGGCGGACGGGUGAGUAACGCGUGGGAACGUGCCCUCUGGUUCGGAAUAACUCAGGGAAACUUGAGCUAAUACCGGAUACGCCCUUUUGGGGAAAGGCUUGCUGCCGGAGGAUCGGCCCGCGUCUGAUUAGCUAGUUGGUGAGGUAACGGCUCACCAAGGCGACGAUCAGUAGCUGGUCUGAGAGGAUGAUCAGCCACACUGGGACUGAGACACGGCCCAGACUCCUACGGGAGGCAGCAGUGGGGAAUAUUGGACAAUGGGCGCAAGCCUGAUCCAGCCAUGCCGCGUGAGUGAUGAAGGCCUUAGGGUUGUAAAGCUCUUUUAUCCGGGACGAUAAUGACGGUACCGGAGGAAUAAGCCCCGGCUAACUUCGUGCCAGCAGCCGCGGUAAUACGAAGGGGGCUAGCGUUGCUCGGAAUCACUGGGCGUAAAGGGCGCGUAGGCGGCGUUUUAAGUCGGGGGUGAAAGCCUGUGGCUCAACCACAGAAUGGCCUUCGAUACUGGGACGCUUGAGUAUGGUAGAGGUUGGUGGAACUGCGAGUGUAGAGGUGAAAUUCGUAGAUAUUCGCAAGAACACCGGUGGCGAAGGCGGCCAACUGGACCAUUACUGACGCUGAGGCGCGAAAGCGUGGGGAGCAAACAGGAUUAGAUACCCU